Molecule: small nuclear RNA, 104 nt
Filed under: Podarcis lilfordi (Lilford's wall lizard)
Lineage: Eukaryota; Metazoa; Chordata; Lepidosauria; Squamata; Lacertidae
Source: RNAcentral
CUGUUAAGAACCACCGAAAUACUAAAAUUGGAAUGAUACAGAGAAGAUUAGCAUGGCCCCUGCACAUAGAUGACACGCAAAUUCGUGAAGAGGUCCAUAUUUUU